GGGUUGUGAGGUUAAGUGACUAAGCGUACACGGUGGAUGCCUAGGCAGUCAGAGGCGAUGAAGGGCGUGCUAAUCUGCGAAAAGCGUCGGUAAGGUGAUAUGAACCGUUACAACCGGCGAUACCCGAAUGGGGAAACCCAGUGUGUUUCGACACACUAUCAUGUCAUGAAUACAUAGUGGCAUGAGGCGAACCGGGGGAACUGAAACAUCUAAGUACCCCGAGGAAAAGAAAUCAACCGAGAUUCCCCCAGUAGCGGCGAGCGAACGGGGAGGAGCCCAGAACCUGAAUCGGCUUGUGUGUUAGUGGAAGCGUCUGGAAAGUCGCGCAGCAAAGGGUGAUAGCCCCGUACACUAAAAUGCACAGGUCGUGAGUUCGAUGAGUAGGGCGGGACACGUGACAUCCUGUCUGAAUAUGGGGGGACCAUCCUCCAAGGCUAAAUACUCCUGACUGACCGAUAGUGAACCAGUACCGUGAGGGAAAGGCGAAAAGAACCCCGGCGAGGGGAGUGAAAUAGAACCUGAAACCGUGUACGUACAAGCAGUGGGAGCACCUUCGUGGUGUGACUGCGUACCUUUUGUAUAAUGGGUCAGCGACUUAUAUUUUGUAGCAAGGUUAACCGUAUAGGGGAGCCGUAGGGAAACCGAGUCUUAACUGGGCGAAUAGUUGCAAGGUAUAGACCCGAAACCCGGUGAUCUAGCCAUGGGCAGGUUGAAGGUUGGGUAACACUAACUGGAGGACCGAACCGACUAAUGUUGAAAAAUUAGCGGAUGACUUGUGGCUGGGGGUGAAAGGCCAAUCAAACCGGGAGAUAGCUGGUUCUCCCCGAAAGCUAUUUAGGUAGCGCCUCGUGAACUCAUCUUCGGGGGUAGAGCACUGUUUCGGCUAGGGGGCCAUCCCGGCUUACCAAACCGAUGCAAACUCCGAAUACCGAAGAAUGUUAUCACGGGAGACACACGGCGGGUGCUAACGUCCGUCGUGAAGAGGGAAACAACCCAGACCGCCAGCUAAGGUCCCAAAGUCAUGGUUAAGUGGGAAACGAUGUGGGAAGGCAUAGACAGCCAGGAUGUUGGCUUAGAAGCAGCCAUCAUUUAAAGAAAGCGUAAUAGCUCACUGGUCGAGUCGGCCUGCGCGGAAGAUGUAACGGGGCUAAACCAUGCACCGAAGCUGCGGCAGCGACGCUUAGGCGUUGUUGGGUAGGGGAGCGUUCUGUAAGCCGUUGAAGGUGGCCUGUGAGGGUUGCUGGAGGUAUCAGAAGUGCGAAUGCUGACAUAAGUAACGAUAAAGCGGGUGAAAAGCCCGCUCGCCGGAAGACCAAGGGUUCCUGUCCAACGUUAAUCGGGGCAGGGUGAGUCGACCCCUAAGGCGAGGCUGAAAAGCGUAGUCGAUGGGAAACAGGUUAAUAUUCCUGUACUUGGUGUUACUGCGAAGGGGGGACGGAGAAGGCUAGGCUAGCCGGGCGACGGUUGUCCCGGUUUAAGCGUGUAGGGGGUGUGACCUGGUAAAUCCGGUUGCAUAUCAACCCUGAGGCGUGAUGACGAUGCACUACGGUGCAGAAGUAGUUGAUGCCCUGCUUCCAGGAAAAGCCUCUAAGCUCCAGGUAACAUUAAAUCGUACCCCAAACCGACACAGGUGGUCAGGUAGAGAAUACCAAGGCGCUUGAGAGAACUCGGGUGAAGGAACUAGGCAAAAUGGUGCCGUAACUUCGGGAGAAGGCACGCUGGCAUGUAGGUGAAGUCCCUUGCGGAUGGAGCUGAAGCCAGUCGAAGAUACCAGCUGGCUGCAACUGUUUAAUAAAAACACAGCACUGUGCAAACACGAAAGUGGACGUAUACGGUGUGACGCCUGCCCGGUGCUGGAAGGUUAAUUGAUGGGGUCAGCCGCAAGGCGAAGCUCUUGAUCGAAGCCCCAGUAAACGGCGGCCGUAACUAUAACGGUCCUAAGGUAGCGAAAUUCCUUGUCGGGUAAGUUCCGACCUGCACGAAUGGCGUAAUGAUGGCCAGGCUGUCUCCACCCGAGACUCAGUGAAAUUGAACUCGCUGUGAAGAUGCAGUGUACCCGCGGCAAGACGGAAAGACCCCGUGAACCUUUACUAUAGCUUGACACUGAACAUUGAGCCUUGAUGUGUAGGAUAGGUGGGAGGCUUUGAAGCGUGGACGCCAGUCUGCGUGGAGCCAUCCUUGAAAUACCACCCUUUAAUGUUUGAUGUUCUAACUCGGCCCCAUAAUCUGGGGUGAGGACAGUGUCUGGUGGGUAGUUUGACUGGGGCGGUCUCCUCCCAAAGAGUAACGGAGGAGCACGAAGGUUAGCUAAUCACGGUCGGACAUCGUGAGGUUAGUGCAAAGGCAUAAGCUAGCUUGACUGCGAGAGUGACGGCUCGAGCAGGUACGAAAGUAGGUCUUAGUGAUCCGGUGGUUCUGAAUGGAAGGGCCAUCGCUCAACGGAUAAAAGGUACUCCGGGGAUAACAGGCUGAUACCGCCCAAGAGUUCAUAUCGACGGCGGUGUUUGGCACCUCGAUGUCGGCUCAUCACAUCCUGGGGCUGAAGUAGGUCCCAAGGGUAUGGCUGUUCGCCAUUUAAAGUGGUACGCGAGCUGGGUUUAGAACGUCGUGAGACAGUUCGGUCCCUAUCUGCCGUGGGCGUUGGAAGAUUGAGAGGGGUUGCUCCUAGUACGAGAGGACCGGAGUGAACGCACCACUGGUGUUCGGGUUGUCAUGCCAAUGGCAUUGCCCGGUAGCUAAGUGCGGAAAAGAUAAGCGCUGAAAGCAUCUAAGCGCGAAACUUGCCUCAAGAUGAGUCUUCCCUGGGCCUUUAAGGUCCCUGAAGGAACGUUUAAGACUAAGACGUUGAUAGGCUGGGUGUGUAAGUGCAGCGAUGCAUUGAGCUAACCAGUACUAAUGAUCCGUGAGGCUUAACCUUACAACACCGAAGGUGUUU
This 2935-nucleotide ribosomal RNA is filed under the name Serratia marcescens. RNAcentral's name for it is "23S ribosomal RNA". It matches the Rfam family "Bacterial large subunit ribosomal RNA". Lineage: Bacteria; Pseudomonadati; Pseudomonadota; Gammaproteobacteria; Enterobacterales; Yersiniaceae. The record is from RNAcentral.